UUUUCUUUAUAACAAAGAGAGUAAACGAAAAGAAAAAUUUUAAAUAAUAAAAUGUAAAUAUUAUUAUGAAAACCUUGAGCUUUAAAAUAUAUAAUGUCAUAAUUUUAACAUUUUAAAAAUAGAAAAAAAUUUAAACUUCAAAAAUAUUUUAUUUCCUUUAAAAACAAUUUGGCUCAAAUGUGCGACCCAAUUAAAUCCUUCUUACUUUUGGUUCUAGUGUUGGUAGCCAUAAAAGGAGCUCCACCUGCUGACCAUAGAUAUGGAACACGAAUCAGAAGAUCUUCUAUGUGCCCGCCAGAUGUAAUCGUAGUUAAAUGUUUUGUGUCUCCUUGUCAUCAGCGAAAGUGCCCAAGAUAUCCUUUAGCGAAUUGUGUUCCCAAUUAUUGCGGGGGAUGCAAACACGAUUUUUAUUAUGACGGGGAAAAAGUUACAUGCUAAUGAAAAAAUCGUCAAUUCUGUUUUAAUUUAUAAAUAUUUGAAACUAAAAAUAAAGAAAUAUGUAUAUUACUUAACAUAAUAUAUUAUUUUAUAAAUUUUAUUCAUCUUCUUUUAUUAGAAAUACAAAUUUAGAUUUUAUAAAUACCGCAUCAAAUAAAAUUUAUUAUAUUUUGG
Gordionus sp. m RMFG-2023 is the source of this 612-nucleotide long non-coding RNA. RefSeq lists it as uncharacterized. The record is from RefSeq and is a predicted model, not a curated record. The transcript has 2 exons. NCBI's taxonomy places the organism in Eukaryota, Metazoa, Nematomorpha, Gordioida, Chordodea, Parachordodidae.